CCCUUAGACGUUCUGGGCCGCACGCGCGCUACACUGACCAGUGCAACAAGCAUCCGUCCUUGGCCGACAGGCCCGGGCAAUCUUUGAACGCUGGUCGUGAUGGGGAUAGACUUUUGCAAUUUUUGGUCUUCAACGAGGAAUUCCUAGUAAACGCAAGUCAUCAACUUGCAUUGAUUACGUCCCUGCCCUUUGUACACACCGCCCGUCGCACCUACCGAUUGAAUGGUCGGGUGAAGCCUCCGGAUUGGCGCGCACCUCGGUGCCGCCGAGAAGUUGGCUAAACCUUACCAUUUAGAGGAAGGUGAAGUCGUAACA
This 315-nucleotide ribosomal RNA is filed under the name uncultured eukaryote. Its description in RNAcentral is "partial 18S ribosomal RNA". It matches the Rfam family "Eukaryotic small subunit ribosomal RNA", at positions 1470 to 1796 of the family's 1831-position model. The record is from RNAcentral.